Molecule: ribosomal RNA, 586 nt
Filed under: Oerskovia sp. B18
Lineage: Bacteria; Bacillati; Actinomycetota; Actinomycetes; Micrococcales; Cellulomonadaceae
Description: bacterial SSU rRNA
Rfam family: Bacterial small subunit ribosomal RNA
Source: RNAcentral
GAGUUUGAUCCUGGCUCAGGACGAACGCUGGCGGCGUGCUUAACACAUGCAAGUCGAACGCUGAAGCACUGUGCUUGCACGGUGUGGAUGAGUGGCGAACGGGUGAGUAACACGUGAGUAACCUGCCCCUGACUUCGGGAUAAGCUUGGGAAACUGGGUCUAAUACCGGAUGUGACUACUGGCCGCAUGGUCUGGUGGUGGAAAGGGUUUUACUGGUUGGGGAUGGACUCGCGGCCUAUCAGUGUUGUUGGUGGGGUAGUGGCCUACCAAGACGACGACGGGUAGCCGGCCUGAGAGGGCGACCGGCCACACUGGGACUGAGACACGGCCCAGACUCCUACGGGAGGCAGCAGUNGGGAAUAUUGCACAAUGGGGGGAACCCUGAUGCAGCGACGCCGCGUGCGGGAUGACGGCCUUCGGUUGUAAACCGCUUUCAGUAGGGAAGAAGCGAAAGUGACGGUACCUGCAGAAGAAGUACCGGCUAACUACGUGCCAGCAGCCGCGGUAAUACGUAGGGUACAAGCGUUGUCCGGAAUUAUUGGCGUAAAGAGCUCGUAGGUGGUUGGUCGCGUCUGCUGUGGAAACG